CAGAGACUGCAAGCGUUAUUCGGAUUCACUGGGCGUAAAGGGUGCGCAGGCGGCCGUGUGUGUGAGGCGUGAAAGCCUGGGGCUUAACCCCAGAAUUGCACCUCAAACUACAUGGCUAGAGCAUUGGAGAGGGUAGCAGAAUUCAUGGUGUAGCAGUGAAAUGCGUAGAUAUCAUGAGGAAUACCAGAGGCGAAGGCGGCUACCUGGACAAUUGCUGACGCUCAGGCACGAAAGCGUGGGGAGCAAAAGGGAUUAGAUACCCCUGUAGUCCACGCCCUAAACGGUGCACACUAGGUCUUGGCGGAUUCGACCCCGCCAGGGCCCAAGCUAACGCGUUAAGUGUGCCGCCUGAGGACUACGGCCGCAAGGCUA
Molecule: ribosomal RNA, 372 nt
Filed under: uncultured organism
Description: bacterial SSU rRNA
Rfam family: Bacterial small subunit ribosomal RNA
Source: RNAcentral